GGCUCAGAUGGUAAAGCGUCUGCCUGCAAUACAGGAGACCCAGGUUCGAUCCCUGG
RNAcentral lists this transfer RNA (56 nucleotides) under Ovis aries (sheep). It matches the Rfam family "tRNA", at positions 9 to 63 of the family's 71-position model. Rfam says of the family: Transfer RNA (tRNA) molecules are approximately 80 nucleotides in length. Their secondary structure includes four short double-helical elements and three loops (D, anti-codon, and T loops). Further hydrogen bonds mediate the characteristic L-shaped molecular structure. tRNAs have two regions of fundamental functional importance: the anti-codon, which is responsible for specific mRNA codon recognition, and the 3' end, to which the tRNAs corresponding amino acid is attached (by aminoacyl-tRNA synthetases). tRNAs cope with the degeneracy of the genetic code in two manners: having more than one tRNA (with a specific anti-codon) for a particular amino acid; and 'wobble' base-pairing, i.e. permitting non-standard base-pairing at the 3rd anti-codon position. Lineage: Eukaryota; Metazoa; Chordata; Mammalia; Artiodactyla; Bovidae. The record is from Rfam by way of RNAcentral.